GCCCAUGACAUUCAUUACCGACCCAGGCCCACGACAUUCAUUAUCUACCCAGGCCCACGACAUUCAUUACCGACCCAGGCCCACGCCAUUCAUUACCGACCCAGGCCCACGACAUUCAUUACCGACCCAGGCCCGCGACAUCCAUUACCUACCCAGGCCCACGACAUUCAUUAUCUACCCAGGCCCACGACAUUCAUUAUCUACCCAGGCCCACGACAUUCAUUACCGACCCAGGCCCGCGACAUUCAUUACCUACCCAGGCCCACGACAUUCAUUACCUACCCAGGCCCACGACAUCCAUUACCUACCCAGGCCCGUGACAUUCACUACCUACCCAGGCCCACGAC
Oncorhynchus tshawytscha (Chinook salmon) is the source of this 347-nucleotide long non-coding RNA. NCBI's taxonomy places the organism in Eukaryota, Metazoa, Chordata, Actinopteri, Salmoniformes, Salmonidae. The record is from Ensembl.